ACGGCUCAGUAACACGUGGAUAACCUGCCCUUGGGUCCGGCAUAACCCCGGGAAACUGGGGAUAAUUCCGGAUAACGCACAUAUGCUGGAAUGCUUUAUGCGUAAAAUGGAUUCGUCUGCCCAAGGAUGGGUCUGCGGCCUAUCAGGUAGUAGUGGGUGUAAUGUACCUACUAGCCUACAACGGGUACGGGUUGUGAGAGCAAGAGCCCGGAGAUGGAUUCUGAGACAUGAAUCCAGGCCCUACGGGGCGCAGCAGGCGCGAAAACUUUACAAUGCGGGAAACCGUGAUAAGGGGACACCGAGUGCCAACAUCAUAUGCUGGCUGUCCAGGUGUGUAAAAUACACCUGUUAGCAAGGGCCGGGCAAGACCGGUGCCAGCCGCCGCGGUAACACCGGCGGCCCGAGUGGUGAUCGUGAUUAUUGGGUCUAAAGGGUCCGUAGCCGGUUUGGUCAGUCCUCCGGGAAAUCUGACGGCUUAACCGUUAGGCUUUCGGGGGAUACUGCCAGGCUUGGAACCGGGAGAGGUAAGAGGUACUACAGGGGUAGGAGUGAAAUCUUGUAAUCCCUGUGGGACCACCUGUGGCGAAGGCGUCUUACCAGAACGGGUUCGACGGAGAGGGACGAAAGCUGGGGGCACGAACCGGAUUAGAUACCCGGGUAGUCCCAGCCGUAAACGAUGCUCGCUAGGUGUCAGGCAUGGCGCGACCGUGUCUGGUGCUGCAGGGAAGCCGUGAAGCGAGCCACCUGGGAAGUACGGCCGCAAGGCUGAAACUUAAAGGAAUUGGCGGGGGAGCAC
RNAcentral lists this ribosomal RNA (796 nucleotides) under uncultured archaeon. Its description in RNAcentral is "bacterial SSU rRNA". It matches the Rfam family "Archaeal small subunit ribosomal RNA", at positions 85 to 879 of the family's 1478-position model. The record is from RNAcentral.